Phyllopteryx taeniolatus (common seadragon) is the source of this 320-nucleotide long non-coding RNA. RefSeq lists it as uncharacterized. The transcript is spliced from 2 exons. The record is from RefSeq and is a predicted model, not a curated record. Lineage: Eukaryota; Metazoa; Chordata; Actinopteri; Syngnathiformes; Syngnathidae.
GGCGGCUGGACAACGUGAGGGGCAGCUGUGGCGAAGGAUGCCUCCUGAAGUCCACGAUCAUCUCUACAGUCUUGAGCGUGUUCAGCUCCAGGUUGUGUCGGCCGCACCGCAGCUCCGGCCGCUCCGCUUCCUGCCGAUGACAGCGGUGUCAUCUGCAAACUUCAGGAGUUUGACAGUCGGGUUCGCUGAGGUGCAGUCGUUCGUGUAGAGAGAGAAGAGCAGCGGAGAGAGGACACAACCUUGGGGCGCCCCAGUGCUGAUGCUGCGUGUGGAUGAGGUGGCGCGGUCACGUCUUCCCUGACAGACAGGCGCGUUCCCGA